This 691-nucleotide ribosomal RNA is filed under the name Curtobacterium sp. 15R34. Its description in RNAcentral is "bacterial SSU rRNA". It matches the Rfam family "Bacterial small subunit ribosomal RNA", at positions 58 to 756 of the family's 1533-position model. Lineage: Bacteria; Bacillati; Actinomycetota; Actinomycetes; Micrococcales; Microbacteriaceae. The record is from RNAcentral.
CCUGUCGUACGAUGAUGCCCAGCUUGCUGGGUGGAUUAGUGGCGAACGGGUGAGUAACACGUGAGUAACCUGCCCCUGACUCUGGGAUAAGCGUUGGAAACGACGUCUAAUACUGGAUAUGACUGCCGGCCGCAUGGUCUGGUGGUGGAAAGAUUUUUUGGUUGGGGAUGGACUCGCGGCCUAUCAGCUUGUUGGUGAGGUAAUGGCUCACCAAGGCGACGACGGGUAGCCGGCCUGAGAGGGUGACCGGCCACACUGGGACUGAGACACGGCCCAGACUCCUACGGGAGGCAGCAGUGGGGAAUAUUGCACAAUGGGCGAAAGCCUGAUGCAGCAACGCCGCGUGAGGGAUGACGGCCUUCGGGUUGUAAACCUCUUUUAGUAGGGAAGAAGGGAGCUUGCUCUUGACUGUACCUGCAGAAAAAGCACCGGCUAACUACGUGCCAGCGGCCGCGGUAAUACGGAGGGUGCAAGCGUUGUCCGGAAUUAUUGGGCGUAAAGAGCUCGUAUGCGGUUUGUCGCGUCUGCUGUGAAAUCCUGAGGCUCAACCUCGGGCUUGCAGUGGGUACAGGCAGACUAGAGUGCGGAGAGGGAGAUUGGAAUUCCUGGUGUAGCAUUGGAAUGCGCAGAUAUCAAGAGGAACACCGAUGGCGAUGCAGAUCUCUGAGCCGUAACUGACGCUGAGGAGCGA